GCUAUCGAGGUUCGACUAAGCCAUGCGAGUCGUAUGUAGCAAUACAUGGCGAACUGCUCAGUAACACGUGGACAACCUGCCCUUAGGACGGGGAUAAACCCGGGAAACUGGGUAUAAUACCCGAUAGGUCUCGAUUGCUGGAAUGCAUCGAGAUUUAAAGCUCCGGCGCCUAAGGAUGGGUCUGCGGCCUAUCAGGUAGUAGUGGGUGUAGCGUACCUACUAGCCUACGACGGGUACGGGUUGUGAGAGCAAGAGCCCGGAGAUGGAUUCUGAGACACGAAUCCAGGCCCUACGGGGUGCAGCAGGCGCGAAAACUUUACAAUGCUGGCAACAGCGAUAAGGGAACCUCGAGUGCCAGGUUACAAAUCUGGCUGUCGAGAUGCCUAAAAAGCAUUUCAUAGCAAGGGCCGGGCAAGACCGGUGCCAGCCGCCGCGGUAACACCGGCGGCUCGAGUGGUAACCGUUAUUAUUGGGUCUAAAGGGUCUGUAGCCGGCCGGAUAAGUCUCUUGAGAAAUCUGGCAGCUUAACUGUCAGGCUUUCAGGAGAUACUGUCUGGCUCGAGGCCGGGAGAGGUGAGAGGUACUUCAGGGGUAGGGGUGAAAUCUUGUAAUCCUUGAAGGACCACCAGUGGCGAAGGCGUCUCACCAGAACGGACCUGACGGCAAGGGACGAAAGCUAGGGGCACGAACCGGAUU
This 696-nucleotide ribosomal RNA is filed under the name uncultured archaeon. RNAcentral describes it as "bacterial SSU rRNA". It matches the Rfam family "Archaeal small subunit ribosomal RNA", at positions 29 to 730 of the family's 1478-position model. The record is from RNAcentral.